AUACAGCUGACGAGUCCUAAAUAAGACGAAACACGCGUCCUCGAU
This 45-nucleotide non-coding RNA is filed under the name Schistosoma margrebowiei. The record is from RNAcentral. Lineage: Eukaryota; Metazoa; Platyhelminthes; Trematoda; Strigeidida; Schistosomatidae.